This is a long non-coding RNA of Bubalus bubalis (water buffalo), 954 nucleotides long. RefSeq lists it as uncharacterized. The transcript is spliced from 3 exons. The record is from RefSeq and is a predicted model, not a curated record. Lineage: Eukaryota; Metazoa; Chordata; Mammalia; Artiodactyla; Bovidae.
GAUCCUCAACACCACGUCAUUAUCGUCAGCACGGACCUGGGUCAGGAGUCCUCCCCGGGAGCACAGGGUCCUGGGUGAGCCAUGCCCCUCCUGACGUCACAGGAGCGCUGCAGUCAUCACUCAGCAGGCGUGGGCAGCAUCACUGACAGAACUGGUCUAGUUGUAAAACAGUGUCAUAAUUGAGAGACCCUUUAACCAGCCAGUGUUCCCUGUCUUCCAAAGGAUACUGAGCCCAUUCAAUAUCACAGAAGAAGAUCAGAAUGCAACAGAGUAGCUGUCCCGCAAUGUUGCCCAAGCUGGGACUGCUAUGGGAAGCAUCAGUGUUCCAUGUGCCCAUUCACAUUCCUGAAUACAAUCCUGACUGCAGUAGAAGCGGUGAGUCACGAAGAGAUGAACAACGAUCAAGACGUCCCUUCUGAGCGUCACCACGCUAGUAUUCGUGAUAGUAAAAGAGGUGGUGGAGGGUUGGCCAGUGAGGAAAACGUGAAUUUUGUCCUCAAGCUUCUAGGACCAAUCCUUCCCGUUCAUUCCCCUGGUCCACUAACAGCACUAGCAAAGGAAGAAGCCCAUUGCACUUCCAAUCUGACCAGAUCCUGCAAUUCCUGGUCUGUGUCCUCAAAAACCUCAUGGUCACCAGCAGCGCUUCUAUCCACAUUGGGUGGAGGCACAGCCAUGACAAAGACUCACUUUUAGGACUCUGGUCCCUGAGGCAGACAGCCAAGGGAGUGACCUCUAGCCUGAGAGAUAUUCCUGGAGCUAGAGUUCUGCCUAGUUCCCGAACAUGCUGCUGGACCGAGAGUUCCCCCUUGCUCCAUAUAUGCUCCUAGUAACUUUCUAGCAAGGCUAAGCACUCCUAUAGAGGGGGUCUAAGUAAAAGUACACAAUAGCAGCAUGGAUCACAAGUCCCUUGAAAGUUUAUGAUCUGACAGAUUAUGUUAGUAGGUUUAAUUCCCC